CCUACGGGUGGCAGCAGUCGAGAAUUUUUCUCAAUGGGGGAAACCCUGAAGGAGCGACGCCGCGUGGAGGAUGAAGGUCUUCGGAUUGUAAACUCCUGUCAUUGAAGAACUAGUACUCAAAGAGGAAGAGACGGCUAACUCUGUGCCAGCAGCCGCGGUAAUACAGAGGUCUCAAGCGUUGUUCGGAAUCAUUGGGCGUAAAGGGUGCGUAGGCGGCAAGACAAGUCGAGUGUGAAAUUUCGGGGCUCAACCCCGAAACUGCAUACGAUACUGUCCUGCUUGAGUGCUAUAGAGGAGACUGGAAUUUACGGUGUAGCAGUGAAAUGCGUAGAUAUCGUAAGGAACACCAGUGGCGAAAGCGAGUCUCUGGAUAGACUGACGCUGAAGCACGAAGGCCAGGGGAGCAAACGGGAUUAGAUACCCUUGUAGUC
RNAcentral lists this ribosomal RNA (431 nucleotides) under uncultured bacterium. RNAcentral describes it as "partial 16S ribosomal RNA". It matches the Rfam family "Bacterial small subunit ribosomal RNA", at positions 338 to 795 of the family's 1533-position model. The record is from RNAcentral.